This 743-nucleotide ribosomal RNA is filed under the name Lacticaseibacillus casei. RNAcentral's name for it is "bacterial SSU rRNA". It matches the Rfam family "Bacterial small subunit ribosomal RNA", at positions 57 to 764 of the family's 1533-position model. The record is from RNAcentral. Lineage: Bacteria; Bacillati; Bacillota; Bacilli; Lactobacillales; Lactobacillaceae.
GCAAGUCGAACGAGUUCUCGUUGAUGAUCGGUGCUUGCACCGAGAUUCAACAUGGAACGAGUGGCGGACGGGUGAGUAACACGUGGGUAACCUGCCCUUAAGUGGGGGAUAACAUUUGGAAACAGAUGCUAAUACCGCAUAGAUCCAAGAACCGCAUGGUUCUUGGCUGAAAGAUGGCGUAAGCUAUCGCUUUUGGAUGGACCCGCGGCGUAUUAGCUAGUUGGUGAGGUAAUGGCUCACCAAGGCGAUGAUACGUAGCCGAACUGAGAGGUUGAUCGGCCACAUUGGGACUGAGACACGGCCCAAACUCCUACGGGAGGCAGCAGUAGGGAAUCUUCCACAAUGGACGCAAGUCUGAUGGAGCAACGCCGCGUGAGUGAAGAAGGCUUUCGGGUCGUAAAACUCUGUUGUUGGAGAAGAAUGGUCGGCAGAGUAACUGUUGUCGGCGUGACGGUAUCCAACCAGAAAGCCACGGCUAACUACGUGCCAGCAGCCGCGGUAAUACGUAGGUGGCAAGCGUUAUCCGGAUUUAUUGGGCGUAAAGCGAGCGCAGGCGGUUUUUUAAGUCUGAUGUGAAAGCCCUCGGCUUAACCGAGGAAGCGCAUCGGAAACUGGGAAACUUGAGUGCAGAAGAGGACAGUGGAACUCCAUGUGUAGCGGUGAAAUGCGUAGAUAUAUGGAAGAACACCAGUGGCGAAGGCGGCUGUCUGGUCUGUAACUGACGCUGAGGCUCGAAAGCCAUG